This is a long non-coding RNA of Coturnix japonica (Japanese quail), 1670 nucleotides long. The record is from Ensembl. Lineage: Eukaryota; Metazoa; Chordata; Aves; Galliformes; Phasianidae.
AUGGAAGAUGCAGUGCUGGUAUGUCUGAUGAAAAUACAAAUUCACAGAAUCAUAGAACUACCCGAGUUGGAAGGGACCAUAAGGAUCAUUGAGUCCAGCUCCAGGUUUACCUUCAGUUCUGCAUCACGUAUCUUCUCAUGGAGACUACAUCAGAAGAGAGUGCUUCAGUGCCUACAUGGCUGGGAGGCUUGUUGGUUUAUGCCUGCUGGUUUAUGCUUUGCUGGUUCAUCCCAUGGCAGGAUGGCAGAGGAAGGUGAAUGGAAAGCUGUUACACGGCCGCUGUGGAAAUGCUGAUUUCUUCUUUUCAUUUAUUCUCAGCCCAUGGGACUCUGAACUUAGUUUUCUCUUUGGAACAACCUCCCAAAACGAUCUCUGACCCUGGAUUUGAUGCUCCACACAUGGUUUUGUCACACCCCUGUGCUGUGCUGCCUGAGUGGCACCGAUGUGCAGUAAAGACCCAGCUGGCUGAGCACUUUCAGGACAAACAGAGAAGACAAUUUACUAUCUGAUUUUAUGAGAGCCAUUUGCACUUUGCAGAAUUUUUUAAGCAGCAAAACCCUUAAGAAGAGCGUUCUGAGCCUGGUACCUCAGAGAAUUGCACACACAUUUCCUGUCAGCAGCCGGAGAAUGGUGUCUCACACCUGCUAUGAAGAGAUUGAAAUAUAUUCUUAAUGGCUUGAUUGCUUUGCAUUUCCCUGGAGAUGGGAUGACACACUGUGGCGCAGUUCCUUUUCCACAAGGAGCAUCCUGAACAGCGUGGCAGAGCUGAUGCUUGCUCUUACUGAUGCUCCCUGGGAUUUAACCUGUGCUUAAGAUCUAGCUAUGCUCAUAGGGAUGCUCUGGGCCUAGGAGGCAGCAGACAUGAAUCAUAGGCAGUUGCAGGCACUGCACUAGGUCUAGUUUAAAGGUCAGCUGAUGGCUGGGAAAAAUGCCCAGAGGAAAACGUCCCUAAAACAGAUGCUUUGUUGUAUGCAUCAUCCUGGGCAGCGCUCUGGAAAACCAGCAAUGACAGAAGUUAAAACACAUUCUCCAGUUUCCUAGAGCCAUGUGGUUUGUCAGAGCAUCCCACCACUGCCAUGUGAGUGCUGCAGUGAUGCCAGGAGGACACCUUCCCACCUUGGCCAGGUAGAGCCAGCACACACCAGGGAAUGGCAGAACACACCUUCCCCUGCAUCUGCCUCUCUGUGAUGCUCCACACAAAGGCUGUCCCUAUCAGUGAUGAACCUGUUAUCACACAGCAAAUAUUCAGUACCCAACUACCAUCUAUUUCCAAGAUGCUUGAGCCUCUAACCUCUUUGAUGCAUGGGAAGGAGAUGCACUAAGGAUGACAGGCACUUCUGUAGGGUACUGUUUUAUUUCAGCAUCUUGAAGAGCUGCAUGUCACCAACCAUUAUCCUGUGGAGCUCUGUACCAGCCCACCCCACCAUGCAUCCAACACAUGGGAUGGUUUUUGUGUCUUGGUGAGAACUGGGAGCUUUCAUCCCAUGGGAACACAGUGCAGUCCCAUAUCAGACUGAUAUGAAAAGGAAACAGCGGUGUUUUUCUGCCUCAGAAUGUUUCUGUUUUUCAGACACCUGAAUAUAAACUCUGUAAAAAAGGGAUUAUAUUUGAUAUGUAAAUAUUAAUAUUUAUGAAAUAAAUCCCAAAGUUUCAACUCUUCUUUGGUUGUG